This 78-nucleotide transfer RNA is filed under the name Cervus elaphus hippelaphus. Its description in RNAcentral is "tRNA-Leu". The record is from RNAcentral. Lineage: Eukaryota; Metazoa; Chordata; Mammalia; Artiodactyla; Cervidae.
AGGAUAGCCAAGCAGUCCAGGGUGCUGUGUUCAGGUUGCAGUCUCCCCUGGAGGUGUGGGUUUGAAUCCCACUGCUGA